This 223-nucleotide long non-coding RNA is filed under the name Linum usitatissimum (flax). Its description in RNAcentral is "long non-coding RNA (LUSI_LNC000262)". The record is from RNAcentral. Lineage: Eukaryota; Viridiplantae; Streptophyta; Magnoliopsida; Malpighiales; Linaceae.
AUGCUGCUAAACCUCAAAACCAGAAUCAGAAUCAGAGUCAGACCUCGUCAGCCUCGCCUCCUGUCGGAAAGAGCAAAGGCAGAAGGAGAGGGAGAGGUGGCCGGAAAUCUGAUCAAGCUGAUGCCUUUAUGAGACCAAGCUCAAGAACUUGCACUGUAGCUCACAAGCCUGUCAAUGGACAAGGAAAUGGUGGGUCCCUUCCAAAUGGGUCACUUGAAAAUGG